AGAGUUUGAUUCUGGCUCAGGAUGAACGCUAGCGGCAGGCUUAACACAUGCAAGUCGAGGGGCAGCGGGAUGUAGCAAUACAUUGCCGGCGACCGGCGGAUGGGUGCGUAACGCGUAUGCAACCUACCUUAUACAGGGGAAUAACCUUUCGAAAGGGAGACUAACACCCCAUAGUAUUGAUUUAAGGCAUCUUAGAUUAAUUAAAUAUUUAUAGGUAUAAGAUGGGCAUGCGUAUGAUUAGCUAGUUGGUAAGGUAACGGCUUACCAAGGCGACGAUCAUUAGGGGUUCUGAGAGGAAGGUCCCCCACACUGGUACUGAGACACGGACCAGACUCCUACGGGAGGCAGCAGUGAGGAAUAUUGGUCAAUGGGCGCAAGCCUGAACCAGCCAUGCCGCGUGCAAGGAAGACGGCCUUAUGGGUUGUAAACUGCUUUUACAUAAGACUAACCGUAUAUUUGCGAAUAUACCUGAAUGUAUUAUGAGAAUAAGGAUCGGCUAACUCCGUGCCAGCCGCAGC
RNAcentral lists this ribosomal RNA (518 nucleotides) under uncultured bacterium. RNAcentral describes it as "bacterial SSU rRNA". It matches the Rfam family "Bacterial small subunit ribosomal RNA", at positions 8 to 518 of the family's 1533-position model. The record is from RNAcentral.